GGGGCCGUAGGGUAGCUUGGUCCAUCCUGCAAGGCUGGGGGUCUUGCGACUUGAGUUCGAAUCUCAGCGGCCCCACCA
RNAcentral lists this transfer RNA (78 nucleotides) under Methanosarcina acetivorans. Its description in RNAcentral is "tRNA-Pro". It matches the Rfam family "tRNA". Rfam says of the family: Transfer RNA (tRNA) molecules are approximately 80 nucleotides in length. Their secondary structure includes four short double-helical elements and three loops (D, anti-codon, and T loops). RNAcentral also lists the same sequence under 8 other names. The record is from RNAcentral. Lineage: Archaea; Methanobacteriati; Methanobacteriota; Methanomicrobia; Methanosarcinales; Methanosarcinaceae.